UGUGUAGGCGGUUGCUUAAGUUUGGUGUGAAAUCUCCCGGCUCAACCGGGAGGGUGCGCCGAAUACUGAGUGACUCGAGUGCGGGAGAGGAGAGUGGAAUUCCUGGUGUAGCGGUGAAAUGCGUAGAUAUCAGGAGGAACACCGGUGGUGUAGACGGCUCUCUGGACCGUAACUGACGCUGAGACACGAAAGCGUGGGUGGCAAACAGGAUUAGAUACCCUGGUAGUCCACGCCCUAAACGAUGCAUAUUUGGUGUGGGCCGUUCAGUCGGUCCGUGCCGGAGCUAACGCGUUAAAUAUGCCGCCUGGGGAGUACAGUCGCAAGGCUGAA
RNAcentral lists this ribosomal RNA (330 nucleotides) under uncultured bacterium. RNAcentral describes it as "bacterial SSU rRNA". It matches the Rfam family "Bacterial small subunit ribosomal RNA", at positions 568 to 898 of the family's 1533-position model. The record is from RNAcentral.